Molecule: transfer RNA, 72 nt
Filed under: Nanocnide japonica
Lineage: Eukaryota; Viridiplantae; Streptophyta; Magnoliopsida; Rosales; Urticaceae
Description: tRNA-Gln
Rfam family: tRNA
About the family: Transfer RNA (tRNA) molecules are approximately 80 nucleotides in length. Their secondary structure includes four short double-helical elements and three loops (D, anti-codon, and T loops).
Source: RNAcentral
UGGGGCGUGGCCAAGUGGUAAGGCAACGGGUUUUGGUCUCGGUAUUCGGAGGUUCGAAUCCUUUCGUCCCAG